Long non-coding RNA from Austrofundulus limnaeus, 1303 nucleotides. RefSeq lists it as uncharacterized. The transcript has 3 exons. The record is from RefSeq and is a predicted model, not a curated record. NCBI's taxonomy places the organism in Eukaryota, Metazoa, Chordata, Actinopteri, Cyprinodontiformes, Rivulidae.
CACACACACACACACACACACACACACACACACACACACACACACACACACACAGUUGUCCCUUCAGAGUCUUGACAGCUUCAGGUGUCGGAUCAGAACCGUCCGUAAAAAAAAGCCCUGCACUUCUGCAUCGACCCGUCCUCCGACCCGUCCCAGAGUCCAGAGUCCACGUGUCCCACAGAGUCCUGAACUAAACCUACAAAGACACAAAUGUCUCUAAGGUACUGCAGGUGAAACAAAGACCAGAUGAGGACUCCUCGUGUCCAGUCUGCUGGCUCAGGACCUGAACACUCAUCCAGCACCCGCCGAGACCAGGACCAGGAACCAGACAAGUUCUGCCAUGAUGGACCACGUCCCGAGGCGGGGACAUCAUGCAGUGAGAAGCUGAACCGAACCGGUCCUCCCAAAAACUGAAGGUCCAGCAAACAAAGGUGGACAAGAAUGAGCUGAGACAGAAGGACUGGUCCAAGUCUUCCAGAGGGGACAGAAGGACUGGUUGGAGUCCACUAAGCUACAAAAACAAACGGGCUGGUACCGAGGAUCAGAAACAUCCUGUCCGCCAGAACAGACCCCCAACAGGUCCUGAAGACAAACAGGACCACCAGGAGUCCAGGUCCUGGUGGUCUACAGGACCAUAAGAAGACCAGGUCCUGGUGGUCUACAGGACCAUAAGAAGACCAAGUCCUGGUGGUCUACAGGACCAUAAGAAGACCGGGUCCUGGUGGUCUACAAGAAGACCAGGUCCUGGUGGUCUACAGAACCAUCAGGAGACCAGGUCCUGGUGGUCUACAGGACCAUAAGAAGACCAGGUCCUGGUGGUCUACAGGACCAUAAGAAGACCAGGUCCUGGUGGUCUACAGGACCAUAAGAAGACCAGGUCCUGGUGGUCUACAGGACCAUAAGAAGACCAGGUCCUGGUGGUCUACAGGACCAUAAGAAGACCAGGUCCUGGUGGUCUACAGGACCAUCAGGAGUGCAGAUCCUCGUGGUCUACAGGACCAUAAGAAUAUCAGGUUCUGGUGGUCUACAGGACCAUAGGAAGACCAGGUCCUGGUGGUCUACAGGACCAUAAGAAGACCAGGUCCUGGUGGUCUACAGGACCAUCAGGAGUCCAGGUCCUGGUGGUCUACAGGACCAUAAGAAGACCAGGUCCUGGUGGUCUACAGGACCAUCAGGAGUCCAGGUCCUGGUGGUCUACAGGACCAUAAGAAAACCAGGUCCUGGUGGUCUACAGGACCAUCAGGACUCAGAGUGGACUAUCAGGAUCCAGGCCAGGCACCAGUUGAACCCCCACCAGAGGACA